UCAGGGGACAUGUGGCCAUUCAUUGCCUCCUUCAAAGCCGUCAGAGACCCUCCUCCAUAGGAUUUUCCUUUUCUCCUACAAGUCAAGACCUGGAACAUCAGCUAAUGGUAAUCCUCAGUUUAGCAUAGCUGCCCGCAAAGGGUCUCACUUUGUCACCCAGGUUGGAGUACAGUGGCGUGAUCUCUGCUCACCGCAACCUCUGCUUCCUGGGCUCGAGUGAUUCUCCAGCCUCAGCCUCCCAAGUAGCUGAGACUACAGAUUCUGGAACUGUUUGAAUUUCUCGGCAAUUCUUGGCACAGAAGCAUCCACGCUGAUCCCAACUGGGAGAGGUCUUUUCUGGGUAGGAGGGACCCAGAUUUGGCAGCAGCAAACUUGAAACUCAAGGGAGACUCUUCACAUUCCCAAAAGAAGUCUUGGGGCACCACCACGCCUAUGGUGAACAAGGGUGCUUAUUCAAAAUGCCAAAGCGUGAUGAUUUUAAGAGGAUUCUCCUCUUUCAAUAAUCUCUGGGUACACUUGGAAAGAAAUUUUACCUUCUGUGUUGUAAUUGAAUAGAUUUUAUAUUUUUAAGAUAAAGAACAUUCAAUUUUACAACCCUAAAAGGAAAGUCUACAGGCUGCUUUCUCUAAUUCAAUCUUAAAGCUCUUCUCUUUGAUGAGGAGCAGAUACUGUUUAAUUUCUGACCCACCAAUAUGUCUUCCCAGCCUAUAGGGAGAUGGGGGUGCUUUCUGUCUCCUUCCCGUUUACUUCUUCCCUGACUAUAUUCUCCACUGUGGACAAAUUCAGAGUUGUGACUGGGAAACAAAAUUCCUGGAGGUAUUUAAAAAAAAAAAAGUCAGGGUAAUGCAAUGUGUGGAAUUUGGAUUAAGCUCUGAAAUGUUUUUAAUUCCAUCUCCACUGCUCACUAUUUGUGUGAUAUUAAUGAAGUAAAUAACUUCUCUGAACCUCAGUUUCUCCAUUGAGGUAAAAUUCUUUCAGGGUUAUCAUGAUGAUAAAGUGAGACUCCUACAACGUAAUAGGUAUCUAGCAUAAUCCCUGGCAACAAGUUGAAUCCCACGAUUAUUUCUUCCAUUUAAAAAAAAAUUAAACCAACCCCCAUGUAUCGUUUCACAAACCUAGAAGAGUCCACUUAUUUUAGAUCAGACACUGUGAGAACUUAAAAGGAAAGAUAGAGAAGAAGUUUGAGAUAGGCUUUGAGCAAAAACAAGAGACAACCAACAAUAACAGGGCAUUUGCUAUAAUCAUUU
Long non-coding RNA from Papio anubis (olive baboon), 1247 nucleotides. Lineage: Eukaryota; Metazoa; Chordata; Mammalia; Primates; Cercopithecidae. The record is from Ensembl.